Gasterosteus aculeatus aculeatus (three-spined stickleback) is the source of this 1723-nucleotide long non-coding RNA. NCBI's taxonomy places the organism in Eukaryota, Metazoa, Chordata, Actinopteri, Perciformes, Gasterosteidae. The record is from Ensembl.
GGAUGAGGUAGGAUGGAGUGGGAGGUGAAGGAAGGUGUUCUUAUAGGUGUCCAGUCUCAGGCACGUUGAUGUUGACGUCCUGGAUGGUCUGCUUUUUCUUCUCUCUCCUAUUUCUUUAUCUCCUUGUCCUGCAUCUUAUGCCUCAUUUUGUCCAUCUCCGUCUGCCGGCCUUUUUUUUUUUUUUAAGCACAGGCAGAUGUUUUUAAGGACUGUUUUGUUGUCCUCUAAUUCUUGGAUCCUGCUGAUAAGGAUCUGUUGUUCUUUGGGGAUGGUAUCCUCCGUUUGUUGGAUCUUAGCGAUCAGGCACAACGCAGUGAAACCACUGCUUGUGACCAUCUCGUGGUGGGUAACCUCUUGGCAGGUUGUAAAAAAAAAAUGAAAUGAAAUGUGUGCAAUAUAAAUUAACAGUACAGUUAAUUAAAGCCGACCAAUUAAAAAAUAAAAAAUAACAAAACAAUAUUUAAAUAAAUGUACAUGAAAUAAAAAUAAGGCAGAAAUCAGGUAAGGGAAAUGUGCAAACCUGAUUAGGUUGUAAAAAAAAUAAGCAGCCAGAGAAUCCCUCUGGGAUCUUUUUUUUUUUUUAGAUCUUUCUUUUUUAGAUCUCUUUUUUUCAGAUCUCUUUUUUUUUUUUUAGAUCUUUUUUUAGUUUUUUUCAGGGUAGAUGGAUGAGGUAGGAUGGAGUGGGAGGUGAAGGAAGGUGUUCUUACAGGUGUCCAGCCUCAGGCACGUUGAUGUUGACGUCCUGGAUGGUCUGCUUUUUCUUCUCUCUCCUAUUUCUUUAUCUCCUUGUCCUGCAGCUUAUGCCUCAUUUUUGUCCAUCUCUGUCUGCCGGUCUUUUUUUUUUUUUUUUAAGUACAGGCAGAUGUUUUCAAGGACCGUUUUGUUGUCCUCUAAUUCUUGGAUCCUGGUGAUAAGGAUCUGUUGUUCUUUGGGGAUGGUAUUUUUUUUUUAUUUUUUUUUUUUAGAUCUUUCUUAUUUAGAUCUCUUUUUUUUCAGAUCUCUUUUUUUUUUUUGGAUCUUUUUUUAGUUUUUUUCAGGGUAGAUGGAUGAGGUAGGAUGGAGUGGGAGGUGAAGGAAGGUGUUCUUACAGGUGUCCAGUCUCAGGCACGUUGAUGUUGACGUCCUGGAUGGUCUGCUUUUUCUUCUCUCUCCUAUUUCUUUAUCUCCUUGUCCUGCAGCUUAUGCCUCAUUUUUGUCCAUCUCCGUCUGCCGGUCUUUUUUUUUUUUUUAAGUACUGGCAGAUGUUUUCAAGGACUGUUUUGUUGUCCUCUAAUUCUUGGAUCCUGCUGAUAAGGAUCUGUUGUUCUUUGGGGAUGGUAUCCUCCGUUUGUUGGAUCUUAGCGAUCAGGCACAACGCAGUGAAACCACUGCUUGUGACCAUCUCGUGGUGGGUAACCUCUUGGCAGGUUGUAAAAAAAAAAUGAAAUGAAAUGUGUGCAAUAUAAAUUAACAGUACAGUUAAUUAAAGCCGACCAAUUAAAAAAUAAAAAAUAACAAAACAAUAAUUAAAUAAAUGUACAUGAAAUAAAAAUAAUGCAGAAAUGAGGUAAGUGAAAUGUGCAAACCUGAUUAGGUUGUAAAAAAAAUAAGCAGCCAGAGAAUCCCUCUGGGAUCUUUUUUUUCUUUAGAUCUUUCUUUUUUAGAUCUCUUUUUUUCAGAUCUCUUUUUUUUUUUUUUAGAUCUUUUUUUAGUUUUUUCAGGGUAGAUGGAUGAGGUAGGAUGG